GCCUUGAACAUAUAAUUAAUGCUAAAUGUGUUCCUAUCAAAUAUCGAGGUUUAUCAAUAUAAUAGCGGUAAUUGAUCGUUUAAAUAAUUUUUGUGAAAUGUAUGUUUGCAGUAAAUAUCUCUUAUGUACAUACGUAUUUGCAUUUGUUUCAAACUUCACCAAUAUGAUCAUGAUAAUUGUAUCGUACAUGUGUGUCAUAUCGUAUGUUUAUAAACUAUUUUAUAUAAAAUGUAUAGUGGGAAUAUUCAAAAUAAGUGUCCACAAGUGCUGGAGUAUUUUCGAGAGCCUAUACAAGCCCUGGUAAGCUGCUGCUUAGUCUGUAUCGAAUUUGCCACAUUACAACUAUCAG
This 349-nucleotide unclassified non-coding RNA is filed under the name Bombus terrestris (buff-tailed bumblebee). RNAcentral's name for it is "misc RNA ENSBTSG00005035019.1". Lineage: Eukaryota; Metazoa; Arthropoda; Insecta; Hymenoptera; Apidae. The record is from RNAcentral.